UGUGUAGAGAGACAUUCCAAUAGGAUUCUUAUAAGCUAUGCUAUAAGCCCAUAGUGCAUCAUCUAAUCGAUCUGUCCAAUCUCUACGAUCGGGCCUAAUAGUCUUUUGCAGGAUAUUUUUGAUCUCCUUAUUGGAUACUUCUACUUGAUCACUUGUUUGUGGGUAGUAUGAUGUAGCUAUCUUAUGUAUGAUCUCAUAUUUUUGCAACAGUGUUUGGAACUAGUAGUUUGUGAAGUGGGUACC
RNAcentral lists this long non-coding RNA (243 nucleotides) under Elaeis guineensis (African oil palm). RNAcentral's name for it is "long non-coding RNA (EGUI_LNC010045)". The record is from RNAcentral. Lineage: Eukaryota; Viridiplantae; Streptophyta; Magnoliopsida; Arecales; Arecaceae.